Molecule: transfer RNA, 69 nt
Filed under: Rochia nilotica
Lineage: Eukaryota; Metazoa; Mollusca; Gastropoda; Trochida; Tegulidae
Description: tRNA-Ile
Source: RNAcentral
GGUGAAGUGCCGGAUGAAACGGAUCGCGAUGAUGAUGCGGUACAUGGGAAAUUUUAGUCCCCUUCGCCU